This 482-nucleotide ribosomal RNA is filed under the name uncultured bacterium. RNAcentral's name for it is "partial 16S ribosomal RNA". It matches the Rfam family "Bacterial small subunit ribosomal RNA", at positions 28 to 507 of the family's 1533-position model. The record is from RNAcentral.
GAUGAACGCUGGCGGCGUGCCUAAUACAUGCAAGUCGAACGCACCACUUCGGUGCAGAGUGGCGUACGGGUGGGUACUAACUAAGUAAUCUGGCAUCUACAGGGUGAUUACUGGUGGAAACGAAAGCUAAGAACGCAUAGGUGUAGAGAUCGAAUAAACUCUAUAUGAAAAGUGCUAAGGGACUGGCAGAUUUUGGACUUCUGAUGCAUUAGCUAGUUGGUAGGGUAACGGCUUAUCAAGGCACCGAUUCAUAGCCGACCUGAGAGGGUGAGCGGCCACACUGGAACUGAGACACGGCCCAGACUCCUACGGGAGGCAGCAGUAGGGAAUUUUCGGCAAUGGGGGGAAGCCUGACCGAGCAACGCCGCGUGAAGGAUGAAGGAAUUCGUUACGUAAAAUUCUGUCAUAGGGGAAGAACGGUUGUGAAAGGGAAUGAGAACCAAGUGACGGUACUCUAUAAGAAAGCCACGGCUAACUACGUG